RNAcentral lists this long non-coding RNA (2149 nucleotides) under Homo sapiens (human). RNAcentral describes it as "HSALNT0261962". The record is from RNAcentral. Lineage: Eukaryota; Metazoa; Chordata; Mammalia; Primates; Hominidae.
UAAGGAAUAAAUGUAAAGAGGUGAGACGUUUGUACCUUGAAAUCCACAAACACUGAUCAAAAUGAUUAAAAACAUAUAUAAAUAGAGAUAGAACCCAUAUUGAUGGAUUGGAAAAAUUAAUAUUGCUAAAUGAUUAUAUAACCUAAUGUGAUUUAGAUUCAACACGGUACCCAUAAAAAUCCCUAUCAGAUUGUGUUAAAGAAACAAAAAACUGGCUGGGAAAAGUGGCACACGUCUGUUGGCCAGGCUGAUCUCAAACUCCUGACCUCAAGGGAUCUAACUGCCUUGGCCUCCCAAAGUGCUGGGAUUACAGGCAUGAGCCACCGUGCCUGGCCCAAUCCUCUUAACAUAAACACUUUAACAUCAAUUAAUGCUUGAACUCAAUGUUAAAUCAACUCAAACUCAAGUCAAUGCUGAAUUGACUCUAAUGACAAUUAAUGCUUGAUGGUUUGCUAUACUCAUUGCCUGUGCAUCAAUUAUCUCAAAAAUGAAUUUUCUGAUGUUCUGCAAGGAGUGACCUCAGACUGAAACCUUGUCACACUUAUGACAUUUGUAAGAUUUCUGUCCAGUAGGGAUUCUCUGAUGCCUAAUGACUUGUGAACGUGAAGUAAAGACUUUGCCAUAAUUAUCACACCUGUGAGGUUUCUCUCCUGUAUGAAUUCUCCUAUGUUUUGCCUAGGAUGAAGCUUGACUGAAGACCUUGCCUCAAUCAUGACAUUUGUAAGGUUUCUCUCCAGUAUGAGUUCGCUGAUGAACUGCAAGUUAUGAACGAUGUCUGAAAACUUUGCCACAUUUAUUAACACUUGUAAGAUCUCUCUUCAUUACGGAUUCUCCAAUGAUUUGCAACAGUUCUAGCAUUACCAAAGGCAUUGUGACAAUCAUUGCAUUAGUAAACUUUCCCUACACCAUGGAUUGCCUGAUGGAUGGUGAGUAAGUGGUGAUUGCCCACUAAAGGCUUUGCCACACUCAUUACACUUGUAAGGUUUCUCUCCAGGGUGAAUUCUAGUAUGUCCUGCAAGGUGUGAAUCACACCCAAAAUCCUUAUCACAAACCUUACAUUUGUAUGGUUUCUCUCCAGUAUGAAUUCACCUAUGUCUUUCAAGCUGUGAUUUACGACUGAAAACUUUGUCACAGGUUUUUCUCCAGUAUGAGUUCACUGAUGAACUGCAAGGUAUGAAUGAUGACUGUAAAAUUGGCCACAUUUAUCACACUUGUAAGAUCUCUCUUCAUUAUAGGUUCUCCAAUGAUUUGCAAGUGUUGUAGUUUUACUGGAGACUUUGUGGCAGUCAUUACAUCUGUGAGCUUUCACUAUACCAUGGAUUGCUUGAUGGUGAAUAGGCGAUGCCCUCACCCUAAAGGCUUUGCCACACUCAUUACACUUGUAAGGUUUCUCUCCAGUGUGAAUUUCAGUAUGUUCUGCAAGGAGUGAAUUGAGCCCAAAAACCUUUUCACAAACCUUACAUUUGUAUGGCUUCUCCAGUGUGAAUUCUCCUAUGCAUUGCAAGGUGUGAUCUGCAACUGAAAACGUUGUCACAUUCUUUACAUUUGUAAGGUUUCUCUCCAGUAUGAAUUGCCUUGUGAACAAAAUUACAACAAAUUAGCUGGGUAUGGUGGAUUCCGCCUGUAGUCUCAGCUGUUCUGGACCCUGAGGCAGGGGAAUUGCUUGAACCCAAGGCAGAGAUUGCAGUGAGCUGAGAUCGCACUGCUGAAAAGACACAAACAAGUUGAAAGCCACUGUGACUCGGCUCAUUGCAAACUGCCUCCUGGGCUCAAGCGAUUCUCCUGCCUCAACCUUUCGAGUAGCUGGGACUGCAGGUGCACACCACCAUGCCUGGCUAAGUUUUGUAUUUUUAGUAGAGACAGGGUUUUGUGAUGCUGGCCAGACUGGUCUCGAACUCCUUACUGCAAAAAAAUGAAUAUAUAAUACAUAGAAGUAUAUGUAUUUCUAUGAAAUAUAUAACACAUAGAAAUGAAUAAGUUGAAAGCCUCUGUGUCUUAAACAAAUGACAGUAGAACUAAAAUAUGGGAAGGUCGGGCAUGGUGGUUCACACCUGUAAUCCCAGCACUUUGGAAGUCCAAGGCAGGUGGAUCACGAGGUCAGGAGUUCAAGACCAUUGUGGCCAACAUGGUGAAAACCUGUCUCUACUAA